AUAUGGAAAAAACAACUAUACUAGUAGUUGACUUGUUCGGAUCAAGUACAUUUUAUGAAAGAAGGGUCCAUAUA
This 74-nucleotide transfer RNA is filed under the name Toona ciliata. Its description in RNAcentral is "tRNA-Pro". Lineage: Eukaryota; Viridiplantae; Streptophyta; Magnoliopsida; Sapindales; Meliaceae. The record is from RNAcentral. RNAcentral also lists the same sequence under 2 other names.